GGAAAUGCAUCGGCUGAAAUAUUGGAGGGAGAAAGAAAAGUUGAGGAAAUGCUUCUCAACUGGGGCAAGAAAAAAAGAAGAAAGAAACUCUCUAUAUAUAGGGAGUGAAACACUAUUCAAGUGUUUAUCCUGAGCGAUGUGGGACUUGAAGCCUUUUUUUUCUUCUUUUUUUCAAACUUUCAUCCACAUUCUCCUUUGUUCUAACAAUCCCCCCCAC
This 217-nucleotide long non-coding RNA is filed under the name Glycine max (soybean). RNAcentral describes it as "long non-coding RNA (GMAX_LNC002699)". Lineage: Eukaryota; Viridiplantae; Streptophyta; Magnoliopsida; Fabales; Fabaceae. The record is from RNAcentral.